This 708-nucleotide ribosomal RNA is filed under the name uncultured bacterium. Its description in RNAcentral is "bacterial SSU rRNA". It matches the Rfam family "Bacterial small subunit ribosomal RNA", at positions 27 to 749 of the family's 1533-position model. The record is from RNAcentral.
GGACGAACGCUGGCGGUAUGCUUAACACAUGCAAGUCGAACGAGAAGGAAGAGCUUGCUCUUCCUGAAAGUGGCGAACGGGUGAGUAACGCGUGGGUAACCUACCCUUUGGAAAGGAAUAGCCUCGGGAAACUGGGAGUAAUGCCUUAUAAGAUACGUUUGUCGCAUGGCAUUUGUAUUAAACGCUCCGGCGCCAUAGGAUGGACCCGCGUCCCAUUAGCUAGUUGGUGAGAUAACAGCUCACCAAGGCCACGAUGGGUAACCGGUCUGAGAGGGCGAACGGUCACACUGGAACUGAGACACGGUCCAGACUCCUACGGGAGGCAGCAGUGGGGAAUAUUGCGCAAUGGGGGCAACCCUGACGCAGCAAUACCGCGUGAGUGAAGAAGGUUUUCGGAUCGUAAAGCUCUGUUAUUGGAGAAGAAAAAAAGACGGUACCCAAGAAGAAAGUUCCGGCUAACUACGUGCCAGCAGCCGCGGUAAUACGUAGGGAACAAGCGUUGUCCGGAUUUACUGGGCGUAAAGGGCACGCAGGCGGUUUUUUAAGUCAGAUGUGAAAGGCCACAGCUCAACUGUGGACAUGCAUUUGAAACUGAAAGACUUGAGUAUUGGAGAGGCAAGUGGAAUUCCUAGUGUAGCGGUGAAAUGCGUAGAUAUUAGGAGGAACACCGGUGGCGAAGGCGGCUUGCUGGACAAAUACUGACGCUGA